RNAcentral lists this ribosomal RNA (1346 nucleotides) under uncultured bacterium. RNAcentral's name for it is "partial 16S ribosomal RNA". It matches the Rfam family "Bacterial small subunit ribosomal RNA", at positions 28 to 1381 of the family's 1533-position model. The record is from RNAcentral.
GACGAACGCUGGCGGCGUGCUUAACACAUGCAAGUCGAACGGAAAGGCCCUGCUUUUGUGGGGUGCUCGAGUGGCGAACGGGUGAGUAACACGUGAGUAACCUGCCCUUGACUUUGGGAUAACUUCAGGAAACUGGGGCUAAUACCGGAUAGGAGCUCCUGCUGCAUGGUGGGGGUUGGAAAGUUUCGGCGGUUGGGGAUGGACUCGCGGCUUAUCAGCUUGUUGGUGGGGUAGUGGCUUACCAAGGCUUUGACGGGUAGCCGGCCUGAGAGGGUGACCGGCCACAUUGGGACUGAGAUACGGCCCAGACUCCUACGGGAGGCAGCAGUGGGGAAUAUUGCACAAUGGGCGGAAGCCUGAUGCAGCAACGCCGCGUGCGGGAUGACGGCCUUCGGGUUGUAAACCGCUUUCGCCUGUGACGAAGCGUGAGUGACGGUAAUGGGUAAAGAAGCACCGGCUAACUACGUGCCAGCAGCCGCGGUGAUACGUAGGGUGCGAGCGUUGUCCGGAUUUAUUGGGCGUAAAGGGCUCGUAGGUGGUUGAUCGCGUCGGAAGUGUAAUCUUGGGGCUUAACCCUGAGCGUGCUUUCGAUACGGGUUGACUUGAGGAAGGUAGGGGAGAAUGGAAUUCCUGGUGGAGCGGUGGAAUGCGCAAAUAUCAGGAGGAACACCAGUGGCGAAGGCGGUUCUCUGGGCCUUUCCUGACGCUGAGGAGCGAAAGCGUGGGGAGCGAACAGGCUUAGAUACCCUGGUAGUCCACGCUGUAAACGGUGGGUACUAGGUGUGGGGUCCAUUCCACGGGUUCCGUGCCGUAGCUAACGCUUUAAGUACCCCGCCUGGGGAGUACGGCCGCAAGGCUAAAACUCAAAGGAAUUGACGGGGCCCCGCACAAGCGGCGGAGCAUGCGGAUUAAUUCGAUGCAACGCGUAGAACCUUACCUGGGUUUGACAUGGAUCGGGAGUGCUCAGAGAUGGGUGUGCCUCUUUUGGGGUCGGUUCACAGGUGGUGCAUGGCUGUCGUCAGCUCGUGUCGUGAGAUGUUGGGUUAAGUCCCGCAACGAGCGCAACCCUUGUUCACUGUUGCCAGCACGUUAUGGUGGGGACUCAGUGGAGACCGCCGGGGUCAACUCGGAGGAAGGUGGGGAUGACGUCAAGUCAUCAUGCCCCUUAUGUCCAGGGCUUCACGCAUGCUACAAUGGCUGGUACAGAGAGUGGCGAGCCUGUGAGGGUGAGCGAAUCUCGGAAAGCCGGUCUCAGUUCGGAUUGGGGUCUGCAACUCGACCUCAUGAAGUCGGAGUCGCUAGUAAUCGCAGAUCAGCAACGCUGCGGUGAAUACGUUCCCGGGGCU